Tupaia belangeri chinensis (Chinese tree shrew) is the source of this 684-nucleotide long non-coding RNA. RefSeq lists it as uncharacterized. The record is from RefSeq and is a predicted model, not a curated record. The transcript has 5 exons. Lineage: Eukaryota; Metazoa; Chordata; Mammalia; Scandentia; Tupaiidae.
CACCCAUUCCCCUCUGUGAUCACCGGCUUGUGAGGCCCACCUGCUGUUGACUUCCCAGAGUUGCUCAGACACCAAGCCUACCUCCUGCAGAGCGGUGGAGGCGAAGAGCAGGCGGCUUCCUGCAGGUGGAGAGCUGCAGCGCACAGGCUCUGCGAGGCAGGACCCUCAGCGCUCGUCACCUCCUGCCCUUCCGGUCUGAACUGACAAUUGGAUCUGAUUACAGGGGAUGGGAGGAGGAGGGGAGUAUUUGCUGAAGAUGCCCCAGCAGACCUGCCUCCCAUGGACUUAGUGUGGACUGGUCUCCUCACACCAGAAACUGGGCUCCUUGAACUAAGCCUGGUACCAAUGGUAAGAUAGACAGUGUUUUCUACACCAUGACUUCUCAAAUGUUAUUGUGCCCAGAAUCAACUCGCUAAGUUAGAAAAGUACAGAGCCUGAUCAGGGUUGGAUAAAGGAGCAGUGGAGAGCAGAGGGCCUCAUUUCUCACCUGAAAUUGGAAUAUGGACAAACACUGGUUAAAGGGAAUGUCUAAAGAAGAAGAGGACUUUUGUUUUUCUUCUGAUUUCUGUCAUGGUGGUCCUGUGGGUCUUGGCAACUCUGCAGUUCUAACAGAUGCAUGGAAGGUUCAGUCAGGGAUGGCCCUCAACACCAACUCGUCCUUGCCAGACAACUAGAUAAGCCAAG